CUCUAUGGAGGUGGUUUAGUCAGACAGCGGCUCUAUGGAGGUGGUUUAGUCAGACAGCGGCUCUAUGGAGGUGGUUUAGUCAGACAGCGGCUCUAUGGAGGUGGUUUAGUCAGACAGCGGCUCUAUGGAGGUGGUUUAGUCAGACUAGAGUUCUAUGGAGGUGGUUUAGUCAGACAGCAGCUCUAUAGAGGUGGUUUAGUCAGACAGCGGCUCUAUAGAGGUGGUUUAAUCAGGCAGCGGCUCUAUAGAGGUGGUUUAAUCAGACUAGAGCCCUAUAGAGGUGGUUUAGUCAGACAGCAGCUCUAUAGAGGUGGUUUAGUCAGACUAGAGCUCUAUAGAGGAGAGGUGGUUUAGUCAGACAGCAGCUCUAUAGAGGAGAGGUGGUUUAGUCAGACAGCAGCUCUAUAGAGGUGGUUUAGUCAGACAGCAGCUCUAUAGAGGUGGUUUAGUCAGACAGCGGCUCUAUAGAGGUGGUUUAG
Oncorhynchus tshawytscha (Chinook salmon) is the source of this 479-nucleotide long non-coding RNA. The record is from Ensembl. NCBI's taxonomy places the organism in Eukaryota, Metazoa, Chordata, Actinopteri, Salmoniformes, Salmonidae.